RNAcentral lists this ribosomal RNA (1150 nucleotides) under uncultured Campylobacterota bacterium. RNAcentral describes it as "bacterial SSU rRNA". It matches the Rfam family "Bacterial small subunit ribosomal RNA", at positions 257 to 1425 of the family's 1533-position model. Lineage: Bacteria; Pseudomonadati; Campylobacterota. The record is from RNAcentral.
GUAAUGGCUCACCAAGGCUAUGACGCCUAUCUGGUCUGAGAGGAUGAUCAGACACACUGGAACUGAGACACGGUCCAGACUCCUACGGGAGGCAGCAGUGGGGAAUAUUACACAAUGGAGGAAACUCUGAUGUAGCAACGCCGCGUGGAGGAUGACACACUUCGGUGCGUAAACUCCUUUUAUGUGAGAAGAUAAUGACGGUAUCACAUGAAUAAGCACCGGCUAACUCCGUGCCAGCAGCCGCGGUAAUACGGAGGGUGCAAGCGUUACUCGGAAUCACUGGGCGUAAAGCGCGCGCAGGCGGCUUUGUAAGUUGGAUGUGAAAUCCUAUGGCUCAACCAUAGAACUGCAUCCAAAACUACUUAGCUAGAGUCUGGGAGGGGAAGAUGGAAUUAGUGGUGUAGGGGUAAAAUCCGUAGAGAUCACUAGGAAUACCAAAAGCGAAGGCGAUCUUCUGGAACAGUACUGACGCUGAGGCGCGAAGCGUGGGGAGCAAACAGGAUUAGAUACCCUGGUAGUCCACGCCCUAAACGAUGAAUGUUAGUCGUCGGGAGGCUUGUCCUUUCGGUGAUGCAGCUAACGCAUUAAACAUUCCGCCUGGGGAGUACGGUCGCAAGAUUAAAACUCAAAGGAAUAGACGGGGACCCGCACAAGUGGUGGAGCAUGUGGUUUAAUUCGAAGAUACGCGAAGAACCUUACCUGGCCUUGACAUUGAUAGAAUCUGCUAGAGAUAGCGGAGUGCCCUUCGGGGAGCUUGAAAACAGGUGCUGCACGGCUGUCGUCAGCUCGUGUCGUGAGAUGUUGGGUUAAGUCCCGCAACGAGCGCAACCCUCGUCACUAGUUACUAACGGUUCGGCCGAGGACUCUAGUGAGACUGCCUUCGCAAGGAGGAGGAAGGUGAGGACGACGUCAAGUCAUCAUGGCCCUUACGGCCAGGGCGACACACGUGCUACAAUGGGAUGUACAAUGAGACGCAAUACCGCGAGGUGGAGCAAAUCUAUAAAGCAUCUCUCAGUUCGGAUUGUAGUCUGCAACUCGACUGCAUGAAGCUGGAAUCACUAGUAAUCGUAGAUCAGCCAUGCUACGGUGAAUACGUUCCCGGGUCUUGUACUCACCGCCCGUCACACCAUGGGAGUUGAUUUCACCCGAA